CUAAGUUUGAUGGCGACCGGCGCACGGGUGAGUAACACGUAUCCAACCUGCCGAUGACUCGGGGAUAGCCUUUCGAAAGAAAGAUUAAUACCCGAUGGCAUAGUUCUUCCGCAUGGUAGAACUAUUAAGGGAUUUCGGUCAUCGAUGGGGAUGCGUUCCAUUAGGUUGUUGGCGGGUAACGGCCCACCAAGCCUUCGAUGGAUAGGGGUUCUGAGAGGAAGGUCCCCCACAUUGGAACUGAGACACGGUCCAAACUCCUACGGGAGGCAGCAUG
This 274-nucleotide ribosomal RNA is filed under the name uncultured bacterium. RNAcentral's name for it is "partial 16S ribosomal RNA". It matches the Rfam family "Bacterial small subunit ribosomal RNA", at positions 79 to 353 of the family's 1533-position model. The record is from RNAcentral.